UUGGAGGGCAAGUCUGGUGCCAGCAGCCGCGGUAAUUCCAGCUCCAAUAGCGUAUAUUAAAGUUGUUGCAGUUAAAAAGCCCGUAGUUGAAUUUCGGGAUCAAAUAAUCGGUCGUGCCUCCGGUACGUACUGGUUUUAUUGGUUCCUCCCUUCUGACGAACCAUGAUGUCAUUAAUUUGAUGUGGUGGAGAAUCAGGACUGUUACCUUGAAAAAAUUAGAGUGUUUAAAGCAGGCUAACGCUUGAAUACAUUAGCAUGGAAUAAUGAAAUAGGACGUUCGACCCUAUUUUGUUGGUUUCUAGGAUCGACGUAAUGAUUAAUAGGGAUAGUUGGGGGCAUUAGUAUUCAAUUGUCAGAGGUGAAAUUCUUGGAUUUAUUGAAGACUAACUACUGCGAAAGCAUUUGCCAAGGAUGUUUUCAUUAAUCAAGAACGAAAGUUAGGGGAUCGAAGACGAUCAGAUACCGUCGUAGUCUUAACCAUAAACUAUGCCGACUAGGGAUCGGAUGAUGUUAAUUUUUUAAUGACUCAUUCGGCGCCUUACGGGAAAC
This 549-nucleotide ribosomal RNA is filed under the name uncultured Glomeraceae. RNAcentral's name for it is "SSU rRNA". It matches the Rfam family "Eukaryotic small subunit ribosomal RNA", at positions 548 to 1098 of the family's 1831-position model. The record is from RNAcentral. Lineage: Eukaryota; Fungi; Glomeromycota; Glomeromycetes; Glomerales; Glomeraceae.